UAACUGAAGAGUUUGAUCAUGGCUCAGAUUGAACGCUGGCGGCAGGCUUAACACAUGCAAGUCGAGCGGGGAAAGGUAGCUUGCUACUGGACCUAGCGGCGGACGGGUGAGUAAUACUUAGGAAUCUGCCUAUUAGUGGGGGACAACGUUCCGAAAGGAGCGCUAAUACCGCAUACGCCCUACGGGGGAAAGCAGGGGAUCUUCGGACCUUGCGCUAAUAGAUGAGCCUAAGUCGGAUUAGCUAGUUGGUAGGGUAAAGGCCUACCAAGGCGACGAUCUGUAGCGGGUCUGAGAGGAUGAUCCGCCACACUGGGACUGAGACACGGCCCAGACUCCUACGGGAGGCAGCAGUGGGGAAUAUUGGACAAUGGGGGGAACCCUGAUCCAGCCAUGCCGCGUGUGUGAAGAAGGCCUUUUGGUUGUAAAGCACUUUAAGCGAGGAGGAGGAGCCCUA
Molecule: ribosomal RNA, 454 nt
Filed under: Acinetobacter rudis
Lineage: Bacteria; Pseudomonadati; Pseudomonadota; Gammaproteobacteria; Moraxellales; Moraxellaceae
Description: bacterial SSU rRNA
Rfam family: Bacterial small subunit ribosomal RNA
Source: RNAcentral